UACGAAGGGAGCUAGCGUUGUUCGGAAUCACUGGGCGUAAAGCGCACGUAGGCGGAUCGUUAAGUCGAGGGUGAAAUCCCGGGGCUCAACCUCGGAACUGCCUUCGAUACUGGCGAUCUUGAGUCCGGGAGAGGUGGGUGGAAUUCCUAGUGUAGAGGUGAAAUUCGUAGAUAUUAGGAAGAACACCAGUGGCGAAGGCGGCCCACUGGCCCGAGACUGACGCUGAGGUGCGAAAGCGUGGGGAGCAAACAGG
Molecule: ribosomal RNA, 253 nt
Filed under: uncultured bacterium
Lineage: Bacteria
Description: partial 16S ribosomal RNA
Rfam family: Bacterial small subunit ribosomal RNA
Source: RNAcentral